UAUAUUCACAUGUAACAAUGGAUUCGUACGCGGUGGCCGCGUUAACAAAAUGGACAAAAAGUGCCGCAGUUGGUCCACUCGCGAAGAAGAAGUGCUAAUUGCUGCAUUGAAAGUGCUAGUCGCACAAGGAUGGAAAUCCGACAACGGAUUUCAAGCCGGCUAUUUGAACAAGUUAGAGGAAGCUAUGAAGAAAGACUUUCCUACCACCAACUUGAAAGGGAUGCCUCACAUUAACUCCAAGGUGAUGACGUGGAAGAAGAGUUACUACUCACUGUCACACAUCCUCAAGUUUAGUGGAGUUGGCUUCAAUGCGAAGGGCACGCACAUGGUUGAUUAAGACGAUGAACAAUGGGAAAAUAUUGUGAAGUGAGUAUGAUUCUAAAGCCAUGGCAGAGAUAAGGGGAGCUUUUGAAGAGCAUGGAGGCGAGACAGCCUCAACGAGAUGCGCUAAUGAUCUUGCUCGUGGGGAAGAACAAGAAUGAUUACAGUGUAGUUGUUGACUCUGAAGAGAAGGAUGAUGACAAAAAUUCCAAUAGCAA
This is a long non-coding RNA of Salvia miltiorrhiza (redroot sage), 539 nucleotides long. RefSeq lists it as uncharacterized. NCBI's taxonomy places the organism in Eukaryota, Viridiplantae, Streptophyta, Magnoliopsida, Lamiales, Lamiaceae. The transcript is spliced from 2 exons. The record is from RefSeq and is a predicted model, not a curated record.